RNAcentral lists this ribosomal RNA (497 nucleotides) under uncultured bacterium. Its description in RNAcentral is "partial 16S ribosomal RNA". It matches the Rfam family "Bacterial small subunit ribosomal RNA", at positions 28 to 507 of the family's 1533-position model. The record is from RNAcentral.
GAUGAACGCUGGCGGCGUGCCUAAUACAUGCAAGUCGAGCGAACGGACGAGAAGCUUGCUUCUCUGAUGUUAGCGGCGGACGGGUGAGUAACACGUGGAUAACCUACCUAUAAGACUGGGAGAACUUCGGGAAACCGGAGCUAAUACCGGAUGAUAUUUUGAACCGCAUGGUUCAAAAGUGAAAGACGGUCUUGCUGUCACUUAUAGAUGGAUCCGCGCUGCAUUAGCUAGUUGGUAAGGUAACGGCUUACCAAGGCAACGAUGCAUAGCCGACCUGAGAGGGUGAUCGGCCACACUGGAACGGAGACAAGGUCCAGACUCCUACGGGAGGCAGCAGUAGGGAAUCUUACGCAAUGGGCGAAAGCCUGACGGAGCAACGCCGCGUGAGUGAUGAAGGUCUUCGGAUCGUAAAGCUCUGUUAUUAGGGAAGAACAUAUGUGUAAGUAACUGUGCACAUCUUGACGGUACCUAAUCAGAAAGCCACGGCUAACUACGUG